This 253-nucleotide ribosomal RNA is filed under the name uncultured bacterium. RNAcentral describes it as "partial 16S ribosomal RNA". It matches the Rfam family "Bacterial small subunit ribosomal RNA", at positions 524 to 776 of the family's 1533-position model. The record is from RNAcentral.
UACGUAGGGGGCUAGCGUUGUCCGGAUUUAUUGGGCGUAAAGAGCGUGUAGGCGGCCAGGUAGGUCUGGUGUGAAAACUCGAGGCUUAACCUCGAGAUGUCAUCGGAAACCACCUUGCUAGAGUCCGGAAGAGGAGAGUGGAAUUCCUGGUGUAGCGGUGAAAUGCGCAGAUAUCAGGAAGAACACCUAUGGCGAAGGCAGCUCUCUGGGACGGUACUGACGCUGAGACGCGAAAGCGUGGGGAGCGAACAGG